RNAcentral lists this ribosomal RNA (461 nucleotides) under uncultured bacterium. Its description in RNAcentral is "partial 16S ribosomal RNA". It matches the Rfam family "Bacterial small subunit ribosomal RNA", at positions 338 to 795 of the family's 1533-position model. The record is from RNAcentral.
CCUAUGGGAGGCAGCAGUGAGGAAUAUUGGUCAAUGGGCGAGAGCCUGAACCAGCCAAGUCGCGUGAAGGAUGACGGCCCUACGGGUUGUAAACUUCUUUUGUCAGGGAGCAAUUGGGUCCACGCGUGGGCUUAGCGAGAGUACCUGAAGAAAAAGCAUCGGCUAACUCCGUGCCAGCAGCCGCGGUAAUACGGAGGAUGCGAGCGUUAUCCGGAUUUACUGGGUGUAAAGGGCGUGUAGGCGGGAAAGCAAGUCAGAUGUGAAAACCAUGGGCUCAACCUGUGGCCUGCAUUUGAAACUGUUUUUCUUGAGUACUGGAGAGGCAGACGGAAUUCCUAGUGUAGCGGUGAAAUGCGUAGAUAUUAGGAGGAACACCAGUGGCGAAGGCGGUCUGCUGGACAGCAACUGACGCUGAGGCGCGAAAGCGUGGGGAGCAAACAGGAUUAGAUACCCGAGUAGUC